GAUGCAAAAUCAGUAAUAUGGGUCCACCGUCAACCCCGACGACGCCCGACAAUCUGAAACAGCCUAAAUCCUGCUGUAAAAAUAAACUCGGCCUCUCAGCACGAGUGUAAAAAUAUUCUACACUAUCCUGAGUUUCCACCGUCUGCAAACUGCGGCGAUACAAAUAAACUACGGCUCUUAGAGCUAAAUCUGGUAGUUUAAGCAUAUGACAGUGUGAAAUCGCCGGUUUUCUCCUAAGUCAUAUCCAAGUCCAACAUGUAUUAUUUAACUAAUAUG
RNAcentral lists this long non-coding RNA (276 nucleotides) under Ananas comosus (pineapple). RNAcentral describes it as "long non-coding RNA (ACOM_LNC000478)". Lineage: Eukaryota; Viridiplantae; Streptophyta; Magnoliopsida; Poales; Bromeliaceae. The record is from RNAcentral.